RNAcentral lists this ribosomal RNA (647 nucleotides) under Simplicispira sp. EECC-491. RNAcentral's name for it is "bacterial SSU rRNA". It matches the Rfam family "Bacterial small subunit ribosomal RNA", at positions 84 to 728 of the family's 1533-position model. The record is from RNAcentral. Lineage: Bacteria; Pseudomonadati; Pseudomonadota; Betaproteobacteria; Burkholderiales; Comamonadaceae.
GAUGCUGACGAGUGGCGACGGGUGAGUAAUACAUCGGAACGUGCCCGAUCGUGGGGGAUAACGCAGCGAAAGCUGUGCUAAUACCGCAUAAGAUCCAUGGAUGAAAGCGGGGGAUCGCAAGACCUCGCGCGAACGGAGCGGCCGAUGGCAGAUUAGGUAGUUGGUGGGGUAAAGGCUCACCAAGCCGACGAUCUGUAGCUGGUCUGAGAGGACGACCAGCCACACUGGAACUGAGACACGGUCCAGACUCCUACGGGAGGCAGCAGUGGGGAAUUUUGGACAAUGGGCGAAAGCCUGAUCCAGCAAUGCCGCGUGCAGGAAGAAGGCCUUCGGGUUGUAAACUGCUUUUGUACGGAACGAAAAGGAUUCUUCUAAUAAAGGAGUCUGAUGACGGUACCGUAAGAAUAAGCACCGGCUAACUACGUGCCAGCAGCCGCGGUAAUACGUAGGGUGCGAGCGUUAAUCGGAAUUACUGGGCGUAAAGCGUGCGCAGGCGGUUAUGUAAGACAGUUGUGAAAUCCCCGGGCUCAACCUGGGAACUGCAUCUGUGACUGCAUAGCUAGAGUACGGUAGAGGGGGAUGGAAUUCCGCGUGUAGCAGUGAAAUGCGUAGAUAUGCGGAGGAACACCGAUGGCGAAGGCAAUCCC